GACGAACGCUGGCGGCGUGCCUAACACAUGCAAGUCGAACGGAAAGGCCCGGCUUUUGUGGGGUGCUCGAGUGGCGAACGGGGGAGUAACACGUGAGUAACCUGCCCUUGACUGAGGGAUAUCUUCAGGAAACAGGGGCUCAUACCGGGUAGGAGCUCUUGCUGCAUGGUGGGGGUUGGAAAGUUUCGGCGGUUGGGGAUGGUUUCGCGGCUUAUCAGCUUGUUGGUGGGGUAGUGGCUUACCAAGGCUUUGACGGGUAGCCGGCCUGAGAGGGUGACCGGCCACAAUAGGACUGAGAUACGGCGCAGUCUCGAACGGGAGGCAGCGGUGGAGAGUAUUACACAAUGGGCGGGAGCCUGAUGCGACGACGCCGCGUGCGGGAUGACGGGCUUCGGGUUGUAAACCGAUUUCGCAUGUGACGAGGCGUGAGUGACGGUACUGGGUAAAGAAGCCCCGGCUAACUACGUG
This 468-nucleotide ribosomal RNA is filed under the name uncultured bacterium. RNAcentral describes it as "partial 16S ribosomal RNA". It matches the Rfam family "Bacterial small subunit ribosomal RNA", at positions 28 to 507 of the family's 1533-position model. The record is from RNAcentral.